GACGAACGCUGGCGGCGGGCUUAACACAUGCAAGUCGAACGGAAGGGCCCUGCUUUUGUGGGGUUCUCGAGUGGCGAACGGGUGAGGAACAUGUGAGUAACCGGCCCUUGACUUUGGGAUAACUUCAGGAAACUGGGGCUAAUACCGGAUAGCAGCUGCUGCAGCAGGGUGGGGGUGGGAAAUUUUGGGCGGUUGGGGAUGGACGCGGGGCUUAUCAGCUGGUUGGUGGGGGAGUGGCUUACCGAGGCUUUGGCGGGUAGCCGGCAUGGGAGGGUGGCCGCGCACAUUGGGACUGCGGUAGGGAGCAGACUGGUACGGGAGGCAGCAGGGGGAAGUAUUGUCCAGUGGGGGGGAGCCUGAUGAGGAAGCGCUGGGUUUGGGAAGACGGUCUUCGGGUUAUGAACCGCAUUAGCCUGAGACGAAGCGGGAGUGACGGUAAUGGGAGAAGAAGCACCGGCUAACUACGUG
Molecule: ribosomal RNA, 468 nt
Filed under: uncultured bacterium
Lineage: Bacteria
Description: partial 16S ribosomal RNA
Rfam family: Bacterial small subunit ribosomal RNA
Source: RNAcentral